Molecule: ribosomal RNA, 520 nt
Filed under: uncultured Methermicoccus sp.
Lineage: Archaea; Methanobacteriati; Methanobacteriota; Methanomicrobia; Methanosarcinales; Methermicoccaceae
Description: partial 16S ribosomal RNA
Rfam family: Archaeal small subunit ribosomal RNA
Source: RNAcentral
ANNNNUCCUANNNUUCAANNCGUGAUUUGGGAACCUCGAGUGCCUGUAUAUGNAGGCUGUCCAGGUGUCUAAAACACACCUGAAGAAAGGGCCGGGCAAGACCGGUGCCAGCCGCCGCGGUAAUACCGGCNNCNCGAGUGGUGGCCACUUUUAUUGGGCUUAAAGCGUUCGUAGCUGGGUUGCCAAGUCUCUUGGGAAAUCCGGCGGCUCAACCGUCGGNCGUCUAAGAGAUACUGGCAGUCUUGGAACCGGGAGAGGUGAGGGGUACUUCGGGGGUAGGAGUGUUUUCCUGUCCUCCUCGAGGGACCACCUGUGGCGAAGGCGCCUCACCAGAACGGCUUCGACAGUGAGGGACGNAAGCUGGGGGAGCAAACCGGAUUAGAUAGGGGGGUAGUCCCAGCCGUAAACGAUGUGCGUUAGGUGUAUCGACGACCACGAGUCGUCGAGGUGCCGAAGGGAAACCGUGAAACGUACCGCCUGGGAAGUACGGUCGCAAGGCUGAAACUUAAAGGAAUUGGCG